This 420-nucleotide long non-coding RNA is filed under the name Bos taurus (domestic cattle). RNAcentral's name for it is "long non-coding RNA NONBTAT010770". The record is from RNAcentral. Lineage: Eukaryota; Metazoa; Chordata; Mammalia; Artiodactyla; Bovidae.
GGAGCAACAAAUGUAUGAGAGGGUCUUGGUUCUCAAUACUGUCUGCCACCCCUGGAGUUCUGUAUUUAUAGGCUUCUUAAAACUCAUCCUAGGUGAAUGGCAAGGCUUUCUUUGUGUCCCUAGCCAGUCUUUUUAUGAGUAAGGGAGUUUGCCAUAUCUUUUCAACAUUUUGAUCAAUAACAAAGAUGAGUGAGAGGCCUAGAUGUUUGGAAUUAAACUGCAUGAUAUUGGAAAGGGCCAGUUUGUUUGUCGAUAUCAGGCCCUAUGGUAUGCCAAAGAAUGACUCUUCAAUUACAUUACAAGGACAUAAUCAAAUGUACCAGAGUGCAGUGCAUCAGCAAGAGAACUUUUUUGACCCUUCUUUUUCUUUGUAGCUGUUCCUAGGACUCCGAAAUGUGGUGCAUGGUGUCUUUUUGCUUG